RNAcentral lists this long non-coding RNA (277 nucleotides) under Homo sapiens (human). Its description in RNAcentral is "HSALNT0208544". The record is from RNAcentral. Lineage: Eukaryota; Metazoa; Chordata; Mammalia; Primates; Hominidae.
UUAUCCAUCAGCCUAUGGGAAAAGGGAAAAAGGAUGUGGAAGUCUUUUCCAGAUACGGCCUGGGAUUUACAUCUGGGGAGCAAGGAUAUAGCAGCCCAAGAAUAAUUAGAUGGGGCAAAAUAUUUACCCUGAUGAAUAAGGCACUGACAUGGCAAGCAAACCAAAAUAUCCCCAGUCACAGAUACAAUGACAAACUCUCUCUCCAAGUCCUGUGAAGUGAUCUUUAAAAGCCAAGGAAAGGAAGACAGGAAAAAUGAAGAUAAAUCCCAAAAGAUCA